UACGUAGGGGGCAAGCGUUUGUCCGGAUUUAUUGGGCGUAAAGAGCGUGUAGGCGGCCUGAAAGGUCAGCUGUGAAAACUCGAGGCUCAACCUCGAGACGUCGGUUGAAACCGCUUGGCUAGAGUCCGGAAGAGGAGAGUGGAAUUCCCGGUGUAGCGGUGAAAUGCGCAGAUAUCGGGAAGAACACCCGUGGCGAAGGCGGCUCUCUGGGACGGUACUGACGCUGAGACGCGGAAAGCGUGGGGAGCGAACGAGG
Molecule: ribosomal RNA, 256 nt
Filed under: uncultured bacterium
Lineage: Bacteria
Description: partial 16S ribosomal RNA
Rfam family: Bacterial small subunit ribosomal RNA
Source: RNAcentral